This is a long non-coding RNA of Hylaeus volcanicus, 1442 nucleotides long. RefSeq lists it as uncharacterized. The transcript is spliced from 3 exons. The record is from RefSeq and is a predicted model, not a curated record. NCBI's taxonomy places the organism in Eukaryota, Metazoa, Arthropoda, Insecta, Hymenoptera, Colletidae.
CACCAUGCCACAAUAAAUUUUACAAAUGAAAAAAGUCAUUGUUUCGCACACGUGCCUUCUUUUCUUUUUGCAUUUUACAUUAAAAAAAAGAAACGGUACUAAUAAACGGCUAAUUAGGUAAAAAAAAAGGUUCUUGGAUUUUCUUUUAGGGAACGUUUUUCAUAAAAUUGAGGAUUAUUCGGAGGAAUGUUUGUGUAAAUUAAAGACAAACAAACGUGUGUUCAUUAACCGCAAAUUAUAGAGACUGUUUUAAAAAUUUUUGAAUACUACAAUACAGAGUCAAAAGGUAGGCAUUAAGAAAAAAAAAAUAAUACUGCAAACGGCUCUUCCCGAUUCGUACGCUAACAGUCACUUUAUUAAAAAAGCAACUUAGAAUUAAAACCGAAGAGUUAGUUUAUGUUAUUGAUUAUCUUUACAUUUUUCGAUAUCUUUCUCAAAUUCAAAAAGUGUUCAUAAACGAUACAUUUUUUUUAUGAUUACGACGAAUAAGCACGCCGCACAUAUGAAAAUGAUCAUUUUUCCGAAACGUUUUAUGAACAAGCAAAUUAUUGAACGAUUAUGUUGUUCGGGUGCUUUUAACCACUUUACGAAUUUUAGCAAAAGCACUAAAAAAAAAAAAAUCGAAAACUGAUCAAUAUUCCAUUACUACAACUUUCGAAAAUUUAAAUUGGUUUUUCUAAGCUACAGUUCAACAAACGCUUCAUUAGUGUCCUCAACAAACUCUAAAAACUGAUGUUAGCGCCACUUAUCGAACAAGAAAUUUUUUUAUUGAAUGUGCUAGACAUUUUUAAACAAUAUCGUAUUGAUAAGUUUUUCGUAAGGUGAAUUCAUUUUUGUAAAAAACGACCCGUUGUUUGUAACUAAUAAUAUUUUUAAUAAUUUGUUUCUUUGCUUUCUGAAAAUACUUGGGAAGGAAACAUUGACCAAAGCUUGGCGGGCGUUUGUAAAUUGAAAUACUAACCGCAUACUAUAGUGUUGUGUGGAACCAGAAUGUAUAAUCUUUGCACUGUUAUCGGUUCAACCUAAUACUUUUACUUUGGUGGGCGUCAAACCUAAUAUUUAAGUAUUUUUUGUAAUUUUGGUGACUUGGUGAAUCAUUUAUAGUGUCCGUGUGGUUCAUGAAAUUAACAAGGAUCUAGUGACUUGCAACGUGAUAUAUAGAAACGGCCUUAGAGGCACGCUUGUAAAAAACACAAUCUUCUACGCGUGGCCUUUCAAGAAGACGUUGCGCUACGCUUCACAUGUUUCCUUUCAAAAAGGUGUCGCUUUACGUUUUGGUGUUUCCUUAACGAAAAAGGUUGCUAACAAGUUGCUUUCAAAAAAAAAAAGUCACAAAUAGUUUGGUUUAAGGUAGAACGAGAAUUCAGGCUAAGGAGUUACAAGAAACAUGGGGUUUUGACCUCGUUGUUAUCUGGUAUCUCAAACAAUGAGUGUUAUUCAAA